CGGCGAACGGGUGAGUAACGCGUGGAUUAUCUGCCCUGAGGUGGGGGGAUAACCCGGGGAAACUCGGGCUAAUACCGCAUAUGACCGUGAGGUCAAAGGGGGGUCGCAAGAUCUCUCGCCAUAGGAGGAGUCCGCGUACGAUUAGCUAGUUGGUAGGGUAAUGGCCUACCAAGGCGACGAUCGUUAGCCGGCCUGAGAGGGUGAUCGGCCACACUGGAACUGAGACACGGUCCAG
RNAcentral lists this ribosomal RNA (235 nucleotides) under uncultured bacterium. RNAcentral describes it as "partial 16S ribosomal RNA". It matches the Rfam family "Bacterial small subunit ribosomal RNA", at positions 96 to 334 of the family's 1533-position model. The record is from RNAcentral.